UGAAAUAAUAAUGCAUAUUUUUUACAAUAAGACAAAAAUCCGUACAUCUCAGGGUAAAUGUUUCUGCAGCAAGACUAUUGCUGAUGAGGGUAAGUCUCAGGUACAACAGCACCCUCCUGGCUAGUAGUUCCCUCCCUGUAUCUUAUGGGUCACAUACAUGAGAAAAGCUUUCAUCAGCUCAGCUGAAUUAUAAGAACCUCUGAUGAAAGACAGGUCAUAUUCAUUAUUUACUUUGGUAGGAGAUAUAGCCGGCGAUACCUCUGUAUCUAACAAUGCAGCCCAGUCUAGAUAGAUCCCAAUUUUUCUUCCUCCCUGCGUACUGCACAAUAUGACAAGGAAAAUUUCAGUUCUCUUUGCUUCAUUAUGACUGCACACCAGUGUUGUUUUGUUUUGGGUUUUUUUGUUAAUGCACUUGUUGCCUGUGAGACCAUCAGCACCUGGAUCAUAGAGAAUAGGCCACCCUUCAACUCUUUAGGUAAACAUACCAGGAAAAUUACCUGGUAUUUGGUAAACAUACUUUUUGUAUUUGGUAAACAAACUUUGGUAAACAUACCAAAGUUAGAGAGGCUGAGCUUGUGAUGUUUGCUGCUUAGAUUAUGACAUCAAACGGGGGCUUUUCCUUCCUUUAAACUGUACCUAGAGCACCAUGUAGUCUGGUCAAACUGCUGGCAAAGGUGUGAUAAAAUGUUUGCUCAUUAAGACCGGGAUGUGGUAGCAUUGUGGUGGAGUGCUUGUUCAUUAGGACCGGGAUGUGAUGGUGGAAUAUGGAGGCCACAAGGGUUGCAGAACACUCUAAUUUUAUGGGUAGAUUGUGUACUCUGCAUAGUUACAGUGGCACGAUCACGACCGACCAAUUAAAGGACAAUACACUCGGAUGGACCUUACAAAAGAAGUUGCAAGGGACGGGAGAGGUGCGGCAGUUUGGAGGAACGAGGAUUCCCCUGUCGCCCGCGCUGAAUUGCCUUUUGUUUUACCCGCUACAAUUAAUAAAAGUUUCUAAUUGGAACAUUAUCGGCUCAUUGCUUGUAAAUUGAUGACAAUUUGGCGCCGUGACUCGGACGGGAAUACUGGCGUGGGUACGAGCCUGAGGGGGCGCCCCGCCUAAAUAGGCGGCCUCGGCUCCUAUCCUCCCGCCCUACUCCUGCCGACGAUCCGAAAUUUAAAACACAAAGGCAAGUAAAAA
Molecule: long non-coding RNA, 1183 nt
Filed under: Coturnix japonica (Japanese quail)
Lineage: Eukaryota; Metazoa; Chordata; Aves; Galliformes; Phasianidae
Description: lncRNA (ENSCJPG00005015965.1)
Source: RNAcentral